This 253-nucleotide ribosomal RNA is filed under the name uncultured bacterium. RNAcentral's name for it is "partial 16S ribosomal RNA". It matches the Rfam family "Bacterial small subunit ribosomal RNA", at positions 524 to 776 of the family's 1533-position model. The record is from RNAcentral.
UACGUAGGGACCAAGCGUUGUUCGGAUUUACUGGGCGUAAAGGGCGCGUAGGCGGCGUAACAAGUCACUUGUGAAAUCUCCGGGCUUAACCCGGAGCGGCCAAGUGAUACUGUUGUGCUAGAGUGCGGAAGGGGCUACUGGAAUUCUCGGUGUAGCGGUGAAAUGCGUAGAUAUCGAGAGGAACACCUGCGGCGAAGGCGGCUCUCUGGGACGGUACUGACGCUGAGACGCGAAAGCGUGGGGAGCGAACAGG